This 400-nucleotide ribosomal RNA is filed under the name Pseudopediastrum boryanum. RNAcentral's name for it is "partial small subunit ribosomal RNA". It matches the Rfam family "Eukaryotic small subunit ribosomal RNA", at positions 30 to 432 of the family's 1831-position model. Lineage: Eukaryota; Viridiplantae; Chlorophyta; Chlorophyceae; Sphaeropleales; Hydrodictyaceae. The record is from RNAcentral.
GCUUGUCUCAAAGAUUAAGCCAUGCAUGUCUAAGUAUAAACUGCUUAUACUGUGAAACUGCGAAUGGCUCAUUAAAUCAGUUAUAGUUUAUUUGAUGGUACCUUCUACUCGGAUAACCGUAGUAAUUCUAGAGCUAAUACGUGCGUAAAACCCGACUUCUGGAAGGGUCGUAUAUAUUAGAUAAAAGGCCGACCGAGCUUUGCUCGACCCGCGGUGAAUCAUGAUAUCUUCACGAAUCGCACGGCCUUGUGCCGGCGAUGUUUCAUUCAAAUUUCUUCCCUAUCAACUUUCGAUGUUUGGGUAUUGGCCAAACAUGGUUGCAACGGGUAACGGAGGGUUAGGGCUCGACCCCGGAGAAGGAGCCUGAGAAACGGCUACUACAUCCAAGGAAGGCAGCAGG